This 253-nucleotide ribosomal RNA is filed under the name uncultured bacterium. Its description in RNAcentral is "partial 16S ribosomal RNA". It matches the Rfam family "Bacterial small subunit ribosomal RNA", at positions 524 to 776 of the family's 1533-position model. The record is from RNAcentral.
UACGUAGGGUGCAAGCGUUGUCCGGAAUUAUUGGGCGUAAAGAGCUCGUAGGCGGUUUGUCGCGUCUGCUGUGAAAUCCGGAGGCUCAACCUCCGGCCUGCAGUGGGUACGGGCAGACUAGAGUGCGGUAGGGGAGAUUGGAAUUCCUGGUGUAGCGGUGGAAUGCGCAGAUAUCUGGAGGAACACCGGUGGCGAAGGCGACAUCCUGGACCAACACUGACGCUGAGGAGCGAAAGCCAGGGGAGCAAACGGG